UGUAGCUCAGUGGUAGAGCUCUUGCCUAGCAUGUGGGAUGCCCUGGGUUUAAUCCCCAGCA
RNAcentral lists this transfer RNA (61 nucleotides) under Heterocephalus glaber (naked mole-rat). It matches the Rfam family "tRNA", at positions 6 to 65 of the family's 71-position model. Rfam says of the family: Transfer RNA (tRNA) molecules are approximately 80 nucleotides in length. Lineage: Eukaryota; Metazoa; Chordata; Mammalia; Rodentia; Bathyergidae. The record is from Rfam by way of RNAcentral.